This is a long non-coding RNA of Pelmatolapia mariae (spotted tilapia), 1124 nucleotides long. RefSeq lists it as uncharacterized. Lineage: Eukaryota; Metazoa; Chordata; Actinopteri; Cichliformes; Cichlidae. The record is from RefSeq and is a predicted model, not a curated record. The transcript is spliced from 3 exons.
GGAACAAAGACGUGCAGUCAUUGGUGCCAAAUGGAACUGAAGCAUGGGUUGACGCGAUUGGACAUGUGCACAAUUACUGGAGAACUAGUUUUGGAUACUGGGAUGAUUUUCCGCAGACAUUUGAUUCAGAAUACGAGUUGUGUGGUGUUGCAGAUUUGCGGAGAUUGGGAAAAUGGAGGUUACUUCCCUGUGAAACAAAGCUACCAUUUGCUUGCUACAGUAACCUGCAAAGCAAUGAUGUAGAAAAGGAAGUUAAACAAAAAGUAAUGACCCUGAAGUUGAAAAUAGAUGACGCCUCUCUGAAUGUGAGUGACUCAGCUGUGAAAGCAGACCUUUUAAAAAAGCUGCAGGACAAACUGAAUGAGACUGGAGUGAGUGGAGUCACUCUGAAGUGGAGAGAGCAGCCUGAUGGAGAAGUCUUCCACAAAGAGGGGGGAAAUUCCCAGAAGGAAGAAAAAAAAACUGAACUGUGAAAUUGAAAUGCUAUCUUUACAUCUGCUUAUCUUCAACACAUAGUGGUUGUUUAGUGUUUCUGAAAUGUAUUUCUAAAUUGUCAUUUAGUACAGCUUUAGUGUUUGCAGUUAUUAAUGAUACUCCCAGAUAUCUAAAACGUGUCAUCUCUUAGUGACUUAAGUGACUUCAUUUGCACAAUUUCCACUUUUGUUUGAUUGCACUAUAAUUUACUAAUAUUUUACGCAAAUAUUAUGCAUGCAAACAUUCACUAUUCAGCAAGUUCAACCAGUCAAUCAAAGAAAACGUGCUUAGCAAAGAACGUGAAGGUUUUUGAUGGGAGGCAAAACAUAGACACUGGGUUUUCUGUAUCCCUCUCAACAUUUGAUAUUUAAUAUUAUUAUACAGAUAUGAGUUUUAAGCUUUAAGCUUCUUUGACUAUUUUUUGUUUCAUAUGUUAAGCAACCUUUCACAUAUUGCUUUUUUCUGUCUUUUCUGGUAAAGAUAUGUUCUAUUUAUCUGAAUUGUAAAAGAAUCAAAAGGAAGAAUUCGUGUAUGUUUGUGUGCGGGUAGUCUGAUGUUAAGUUUGAAUGCGAUGGUAAGUCCCCUGCUUAUUAUGUUUAGUUCCUACUUCCUUUUGCAGUUAACCACCAAGAAUAAAUAUAAAACCUGAA